GAUCAGGCUGGCCUCAGACUCAGACAGAGCCACUUGACUCUGCUUCUCAAGUGUUGGGGUAAAAGCUUGUGCCACUAUGUCUGAUGCCACUGAAGAAAGCAUCUCGUUCAGAUUCUGUUGGGCACAGCAUCUGGGAAAUUUAGAUCCACACUGUGCAAACUUUCUGAUUUCUCACAAGGCAGAAAUAAAGAUUAUUUUAUGUUGAAAACUGUAAAUGUUUAUUUAUUUAUUUAUUUAAUAUAUGUAAGUACACUGUCACCAUUUUCUGACAAACCAGAAGUGAGCAUCAGAUUCCAUUAUAGGUAGUUGUGAGCCACCAUGUGUUUUCUGGGAAUCAAACUCAGGAACCCUGUAAGAGCAGUCAGUGCUCUUAGCCAGUGAGCUAAGAAAACAGUAAAUCUUUAUAUUUGUAGUUAAUUUAAAAACAUAAAAGGCACAGUGUAGUUCAGUCAGAACACAGGUAUGGGCAUCAGGUCUCUGCUCCUACCUGUUGACCUUAUCCUUUGCUUUGUAGUUCGUGGCCACAUCAUCCCCCUUUUUUUGAUUGUGAACUUUCAGGAAGAACAGUAUAGAGCUAGGCACAAAAACCAGUCAGCUAUUGGAAAUUAGGUAAGCUUAUGACAACAUUGCUAUGGACAAGUUUGAAGAAGCUGUCUGUCUUAGCAAACAUGAACUGAUCACCAGGUUUUUGGGUUAAAUAAAAAGCAGCUACUUCACUCAGGGUACAGGAGGGACAAACAGGCUUAGCAUACUAGCACUGGUUGCCUGUUCAGGCCUGUCCCAUUUUCUCUCUCCUGUCAGCUCUUCUCCUUGGAGUUGUGGUUCUUUAAGGUUUCUUUCUUUCUUUCUUUCUUUCUUUCUUUCUUUCUUUUUUUUUGGUCAUUUUGAGACAGGGUUUCUCUGUAUAGCCCUGGUAGUCCUGGACCUCACUUUGUAGACCAGGCUGGCCUUGAACUCAGAAAUUCGCCUGCCUCAACCCCCUCUUGUUUUCUCAGCAUGUAUUUCAGGCCAGCCUGAGUCUUCUGCCUUUUUCCUCCCAAAGUGUUGGAAUCAUGGCAGGAGCAGUUGACCCAAAUGGACUUUGAAUUGGUGUAAGUGAGCUCUCUUGCUGAUUUGCAGUGGUAUGGAGUGUUAAGAGAUGGUGAGAUGACACAGCUUGGAAAGCACUGAGAAGAGGGGUGGGGUAAGGAAUGAGAUCUCAGUGGAGUAAGGGCAGCUUGUGCCUGAAGCAUUAUAUACUUCCAUGAGCAGUCAUUAAAUACCUUUCUGUAUUCAUGAAUGUUCAUGUGAUAAUAACAAAACUAUACAUCAUGGGUUCUUGUUUAAAGUUUAUUAUAAUAUCAUGCCUUCUUGUGCCUUGAAACUCGCUCCUCC
This 1374-nucleotide long non-coding RNA is filed under the name Mus musculus (house mouse). RNAcentral describes it as "long non-coding RNA chr14:43878797-43880171". The record is from RNAcentral. Lineage: Eukaryota; Metazoa; Chordata; Mammalia; Rodentia; Muridae.